GCCUGGCAUGGUAGUACACACCUAUAGUUCCAGCUGCUCGGGAGGCUGAGGUGAGAAGAUUUCUUGUGCUCAGGAGCCUGGGCUGUAGUGGGCUAUGCUGAUCAGAUGCCCAUACUAUAUUUGGCAUCAAUAUGGCAACUUCUCAAGAGUAAGGAACCACCAUAUUGUCUAAGGAGCAGCGUACCUGCCCAGGGCAGAAAUGGAGCACAUCAAAAUUCUCAUGCUGAUUAGUAUCUGGAUUGUACCUGUUAAUAGCCACAGCAUUUCAGCCUGGGAAACAUAGCAAGACCCUGUCUCU
This 298-nucleotide signal recognition particle RNA is filed under the name Carlito syrichta (Philippine tarsier). RNAcentral's name for it is "Metazoan signal recognition particle RNA (ENSTSYG00000037226.1)". It matches the Rfam family "Metazoan signal recognition particle RNA". From Rfam's summary of the family: The signal recognition particle (SRP) is a universally conserved ribonucleoprotein. It is involved in the co-translational targeting of proteins to membranes. The eukaryotic SRP consists of a 300-nucleotide 7S RNA and six proteins: SRPs 72, 68, 54, 19, 14, and 9. The record is from RNAcentral. Lineage: Eukaryota; Metazoa; Chordata; Mammalia; Primates; Tarsiidae.